This 1173-nucleotide ribosomal RNA is filed under the name uncultured Nitrosomonas sp. Its description in RNAcentral is "bacterial SSU rRNA". It matches the Rfam family "Bacterial small subunit ribosomal RNA", at positions 335 to 1501 of the family's 1533-position model. The record is from RNAcentral. Lineage: Bacteria; Pseudomonadati; Pseudomonadota; Betaproteobacteria; Nitrosomonadales; Nitrosomonadaceae.
ACUCCUACGGGAGGCAGCAGUGGGGAAUUUUGGACAAUGGGCGCAAGCCUGAUCCAGCAAUGCCGCGUGAGUGAAGAAGGCCUUCGGGUUGUAAAGCUCUUUUAGUUGAAAAGAAAAGGUCGCGACUAAUAAUCGCGACUCAUGACGGUAUCAACAGAAAAAGCACCGGCUAACUACGUGCCAGCAGCCGCGGUAAUACGUAGGGUGCAAGCGCUAAUCGGAAUUACUGGGCGUAAAGGGUGCGCAGGCGGUUUUGUAAGUCAGAUGUGAAAUCCCCGGGCUUAACCUGGGAAUUGCGUUUGAAACUGUAAAACUAGAGUGCGGCAGAGGGAGGUGGAAUUCCAUGUGUAGCAGUGAAAUGCGUAGAGAUAUGGAAGAACAUCGAUGGCGAAGGCAACCUCCUGGGCUAGCACUGACGCUCAUGCACGAAAGCGUGGGGAGCAAACAGGAUUAGAUACCCUGGUAGUCCACGCCCUAAACUAUGUCAACUAGUUGUCGGGUCUUAUUAGAUUUGGUAACGUAGCUAACGCGUGAAGUUGACCGCCUGGGGAGUACGGUCGCAAGAUUAAAACUCAAAGGAAUUGACGGGGACCCGCACAAGCGGUGGAUUAUGUGGAUUAAUUCGAUGCAACGCGAAAAACCUUACCUACCCUUGACAUGUCAGAAAGUUUUCAGAGAUGAAAUCGUGCUCGAAAGAGAAUCUGAACACAGGUGCUGCAUGGCUGUCGUCAGCUCGUGUCGUGAGAUGUUGGGUUAAGUCCCGCAACGAGCGCAACCCUUGUCAUUAAUUGCCAUCAUUUAGUUGGGCACUUUAAUGAGACUGCCGGUGAUAAACCGGAGGAAGGUGGGGAUGACGUCAAGUCCUCAUGGCCCUUAUGGGUAGGGCUUCACACGUAAUACAAUGGCGCGUACAGAGGGUUGCCAACUCGCGAGAGGGAGCUAAUCUCAGAAAGCGCGUCGUAGUCCGGAUCGGAGUCUGCAACUCGACUCCGUGAAGUCGGAAUCGCUAGUAAUCGCGGAUCAGCAUGUCGCGGUGAAUACGUUCCCGGGUCUUGUACACACCGCCCGUCACACCAUGGGAGUGGGUUUCACCAGAAGCAGGUAGUCUAACCGUAAGGAGGGCGCUUGCCACGGUGAGGUUCAUGACUGGGGUGAAGUCGUAACAAGGUAGCC